RNAcentral lists this ribosomal RNA (398 nucleotides) under uncultured bacterium. RNAcentral describes it as "bacterial SSU rRNA". It matches the Rfam family "Bacterial small subunit ribosomal RNA", at positions 359 to 776 of the family's 1533-position model. The record is from RNAcentral.
GUAUUGGACAAUGGGGGCAACCCUGAUCCAGCAAUGCCGCGUGAGUGAUGAAGGCCUUAGGGUUGUAAAGCUCUUUCGGCGGGGAAGAUGAUGACGGUACCCGCAGAAGAAGCCCCGGCUAACUUCGUGCCAGCAGCCGCGGUAAUACGAAGGGGGCUAGCGUUGUUCGGAUUUACUGGGCGUAAAGGGCGCGUAGGCGGUGCGAUAAGUCAGGCGUGAAAGCCCCGGGCUCAACCCGGGAACAGCGCUUGAUACUGUUGCGCUUGAAUCCAGGAGAGGAUGGCGGAAUUCCCAGUGUAGAGGUGAAAUUCGUAGAUAUUGGGAAGAACACCAGUGGCGAAGGCGGCCAUCUGGCCUGGCAUUGACGCUGAGGCGCGAAAGCGUGGGGAGCAAACAGG